Molecule: non-coding RNA, 54 nt
Filed under: unclassified sequences
Source: RNAcentral
CCGGAUACCUUGGAGCCGCCGCACCGGACAAAAGCGACGGCACCCCAUAAGCAA